CUACUGGAUACUGUGCGGCCAUGUGCAUGGCCCCCUUCUGGGCGAAAUAUGGUAUGUCCUACUUCUCUGAAGUUGGUACUGGCCUUGGGCAUCACCCCCUUUUGGGGCGGGCCUUUGCACUCUUACCGACUGCAGUUUGCUUUUUUUUCGG
Molecule: long non-coding RNA, 151 nt
Organism: Bufo bufo (common toad)
Lineage: Eukaryota; Metazoa; Chordata; Amphibia; Anura; Bufonidae
Exons: 3
Source: RefSeq, a predicted model, not a curated record